This is a long non-coding RNA of Topomyia yanbarensis, 1381 nucleotides long. RefSeq lists it as uncharacterized. The transcript is spliced from 3 exons. The record is from RefSeq and is a predicted model, not a curated record. Lineage: Eukaryota; Metazoa; Arthropoda; Insecta; Diptera; Culicidae.
AAAUAUUUUUCCUUCUUCCGUGCGGAAUUUUGACAUUUGAUCGCGAAAAAUAGUCUGUGCGUUUGCCGUCAGAUGUCGCUUUUGACAGCUGAAAAGUACUAUCAGCUGUUUUUGUUUAUUUGUUGAAAGCCUGCUACAAGAAAUGCUCGUUCAAUUGCCCGGCCAACCUGUGCACGAUCCGGGAUGGUCGGGUCGACAAGGAAAGCGAAUGGGCACACAACCAUGCGCCUGGGGACGACUACGAAAAGAAUGCCAUCAACCAAGGUUACAUGUAGGAUGCAAAAACAAACAAGUAGAUUGCUUACAAACCUAUUUCGGCUGAGCGGGGUCAGCGGUUGGUCGUGCACAAUGGCUACCGGUACUCGUCGGUCGGUUGAUCAGCGACGGGCGAAUCGCAUGGAAGUGCACCAAGUGUAAGGUGUUUUGCCAUCACCGGCCGUUUCGGGACAAUUAAGGAUCGUGGUACGGAGCAUAAGCACGAACUGGAUGAGAGUGAUUCGUUCCUAGGCUAUCAGCAGGAGAUGAUACAGACGAUUUGUCGCAAUCGGUUAAACUCGAUGUUAGUAAGGAACAACUUGCUGAGGAUGAUGAUGGAAACGGCGCCAAAGAAUGAGGGCAACGUUUGCGACGUUGGAGAUGAGACUUUUGAAGCUGCCGAGGGAAUGUUUAUCAUUCCUUUAGCUGUGGUUGGGCAGAGUUAGGUUUCUUGAUUUUAACAGUGGCAUAGCUGAGGGGAGAGGGGUUACCCCCCUCUACCGUUUACUCUCUCCCUCAACCCCGUCAUCUUUAAACCACCACUAUAUCACAAAGCAUACCAAAUUAUGCUGGGGAGUCGUUCCUUCGUGGAAUUUUCGCCCUCCUUCCACGCCCACCCCCGCAUGCAAAAUGAGUAACCAAGCAAAUAACAUUGAACUAAUACUGAUUAGGCUAAUUAAGUAUAUUUUUUGUUUCAAGUGUUUUACCGUCGACACGUAGCUCAUCAAGUUCGUGGCUGGCAAGCUAUUGUGUAUAAGUGCAAAGUGUACUAAGAAUGUAAUGGACAUUUCCACAUAACAAUGUGGACAAACAUUGUUGAACAUAACCAGCCACCGAGCCAUAGUAUAGAGAAAUGAGAAAGGCACAAUUGCACCGCUAGGUGGAUUAAAACAGGUUUUUUUUUUAUCACCAGUCAAUGUAAAUAUAUUAAAUACGUUUAAGCAUUUGCGAUUUUUAUUUAAUAUCACAAUCAUAUUUGCGGGUGAAUUGCUUUUCUAACCUUCCGGCCAUCACAUCAUAUGACAGGUGUACAUAAUCAUGUCGUCUCUUAAGAACCGUGGCACCUAACUAAGGCGCCAGGCUAACACUAGUCCUGCUGGUUCGAUUUCAGUAUGUCAAACAGAAC